CCUACGGGUGGCAGCAGUGAGGAAUAUUGGUCAAUGGACGAGAGUCUGAACCAGCCAAGUAGCGUGAAGGAUGACUGCCCUAUGGGUUGGAAACUUCGUUUAUAGGGGAAUAAAAUGGUCCACGGGUGGGAUGUGGUAUGGACCAUAGGAAGAAGGAACGGCUACCUCCGUGCCAGCAUCCGCGGUAAUACGGAGGAUCCUAGCGUUCUGCGGAGUUAUUGGGGUUAAAGGGAGCGUAGGUGGCUUGUUAAGUCAGUGGUGAAAGUUUGCGGCUCAACCGUAAAAUUGCAGUUGCAACUGGCAGUCUUGCGUCCAGUAGCGGUGGGCGGACUUCCUGGUGUAGCGG
This 346-nucleotide ribosomal RNA is filed under the name uncultured bacterium. RNAcentral's name for it is "partial 16S ribosomal RNA". It matches the Rfam family "Bacterial small subunit ribosomal RNA", at positions 338 to 681 of the family's 1533-position model. The record is from RNAcentral.